GAUGAACGCUGGCGGCGUGCCUAAUACAUGCAAGUCGAGCGAACAGACGAGGAGCUUGCUCCUCUGACGUUAGCGGCGGACGGGUGAGUAACACGUGGAUAACCUACCUAUAAGACUGGGAUAACUUCGGGAAACCGGAGCUAAUACCGGAUAAUAUAUUUAACCGCAUGGUUCAAUAGUGAAAGACGGUUUUGCUUUCACUUAUAGAUGUAUCCGCGCCGCAUUAGCUAGUUGGUAAGGUAACGGCUUACCAAGGCAACGAUGCGUAGCCGACCUGAGAGGGUGAUCGGCCACACUGGAACUGAGACACGGUCCAGACUCCUACGGGAGGCAGCAGUAGGGAAUCUUCCGCAAUGGGCGAAAGCCUGACGGAGCAACGCCGCGUGAGUGAUGAAGGUCUUCGGAUCGUAAAACUCUGUUAUUAGGGAAGAACAAAUGUGUAAGUAACUAUGCACGUCUUGACGGUACCUAAUCAGAAAGCCACGGCUAACUACGUG
RNAcentral lists this ribosomal RNA (497 nucleotides) under uncultured bacterium. RNAcentral describes it as "partial 16S ribosomal RNA". It matches the Rfam family "Bacterial small subunit ribosomal RNA", at positions 28 to 507 of the family's 1533-position model. The record is from RNAcentral.